CUGGCCAGCAUCGCCUCGCUCACGGCUUGGUCCCUUUGGCGGCAUCGGAACACCGUCAUUUUCGACAAAAUCGCACCAUCAUCUUCCUUUCUUAUUGUGGCAAUGAAAGACGAAGCGUGCUCUUGGGCCGCGGCAGGAGCCUGAGGAAUGAACACAUGUAUCCCUAUAACCUGA
Molecule: ribosomal RNA, 174 nt
Filed under: Triticum aestivum (bread wheat)
Lineage: Eukaryota; Viridiplantae; Streptophyta; Magnoliopsida; Poales; Poaceae
Description: partial small subunit ribosomal RNA
Source: RNAcentral